RNAcentral lists this ribosomal RNA (253 nucleotides) under uncultured bacterium. RNAcentral's name for it is "partial 16S ribosomal RNA". It matches the Rfam family "Bacterial small subunit ribosomal RNA", at positions 524 to 776 of the family's 1533-position model. The record is from RNAcentral.
UACGUAGGCAGCAAGCGUUGUUCGGAGUUACUGGGCGUAAAGAGUGCGUAGGCGGUCCUGUAAGUUUGGUGUGAAAUCUCCCGGCUCAACUGGGAGGGUGCGCCGAAGACUGCAGGGCUUGAGUAUGGGAGAGGUAAGCGGAAUUCCUGGUGUAGCGGUGAAAUGCGUAGAUAUCAGGAGGAACACCUGUGGUGUAGACAGCUUACUGGAACAUAACUGACGCUGAGGCACGAAAGCGUGGGUAGCAAACAGG